This 268-nucleotide ribosomal RNA is filed under the name uncultured bacterium. Its description in RNAcentral is "partial 16S ribosomal RNA". It matches the Rfam family "Bacterial small subunit ribosomal RNA", at positions 793 to 1055 of the family's 1533-position model. The record is from RNAcentral.
GUCCACGCCCUAAACGAUGUGCACUAGAUCGGUGCGGCUCUGACGCCGUAUCGGUCGAAGUAAAAACGAUAAGUGCACCGCCUGGGGAGUACGGUCGCAAGGCUAAAACUCAAAGAAAUUGACGGGGGCUCACACAAGCGGUGGAGCAUGUUGCUUAAUUCGAGGCAACGCGAAGAACCUUACCUGGGUUUGACAUGGCCGGAUUAGCUCUUGGAAACAGGAGUGACACCUUCGGGUGGAACGGUCACAGGUGCUGCAUGGCUGUCGU